RNAcentral lists this ribosomal RNA (477 nucleotides) under uncultured bacterium. RNAcentral describes it as "partial 16S ribosomal RNA". It matches the Rfam family "Bacterial small subunit ribosomal RNA", at positions 30 to 507 of the family's 1533-position model. The record is from RNAcentral.
AUUGAACGCUGGCGGCAUGCCUUACACAUGCAAGUCGAACGGUAACAGGUUAAGCUGACGAGUGGCGAACGGGUGAGUAAUGUAUCGGAACGUGCCCAGUCGUGGGGGAUAACUGCCCGAAAGAGCAGCUAAUAACGCAUACGACAUGAGGGUGAAAGCGGGGGAUGGCACGAGCUCGCGCGAUUGGAGCGGCUGAUAUCAGAUUAGGUAGUUGGUGAGGUAAAGGCCCACCAAGCCGACGAUCUGUAGCUGGUCUGAGAGGACGAUCAGCCACACUGGGACGAAUACACGGCCCAGACGCCUACGGGAGGCGGCAGUGGGGAAGUUUGUACAAUGGGCGCAAGCCUGAUCCAGCCAUGCCGCGUGCUGGAAGAAGGCCUUCUGGUUGUAAACCGCUUUUGUCAGGAAAGAAAAGGUUCUGGCUAAUACCUGGGACUCAUGACGGUACCUGAAGAAUAAGCACCGGCUAACUACGUG